UCCGGAAACCCACUUCCGUUUCUUCGAAGGCUGGGCCUCGUCGGGGGCGGGGCCUGGUAACUGUGGGCGGGGCAGGAGGCGGGGUAAGUCCUUGAAGGGAAAACUGCUUGGAAGCUUCUAAAGUCAGUGGGUUGGGGUGUUGUGGGGAGUGUCAACGGAGAAAACACAGCAGAUGCAUGUGUAACCGGACAAAAAUGAAAACUCUUAGCUAGUACCUAGCUUCCUUCAAUGAAGAAAAACCAAGUCUCAUCAAAGAAGAAAUGAAGAAAGCUAGAGUGAAGAACAAUAAUUGAGAUGCAGUAAACCUUGUAUGUUCAUAAUCUGAAAAACUUGGGAGAUAUAAGCACCUCUCUUUAAAAAGAUAAGAUAUCUGGAGCCAGUGAGGUGGUUGAAGACCCUUGCUGCUAAACCAGACAACCUGAGUGUGAGCUCCAGGAUCCUACAUGGUAGGAGAAGAGAACAGGAUACUAUAAGCUACCCUCCGACCUCCAUACAGGGCAUUGCGAUGGCUGUUCCCGGUUGUCAACUUGACUGCUUCUGGAAUGAACUACAACCAGAAAUGGGGGGUACACCUACAGUCCAGAUCUUGAGGCAUAGUGGCCAUGAAAAGCUUACGGCCAGACAAGGUAGUACACAACUUUAAUCCCAGGAGACCAAGAUAAGCAGAUCCAGCCUGGGACAGAGCAAGUUCCGAAUCCAGGAAUGGUGGUGCACACCUUUAGUCUGGGCCACACCCUCUGCUGGAGGCCUACACAAGGACACGGGAAGAAGGAAGGCUCACUCUUCUUUGCCUGCUCACACCUACUUGCCUGCUGGAAACUACUUGCCUUGCCAUCUGUUGGAAACUACUCUUUCAGAACUCCAGCUUACAGAAGCCCAGCUAAAACAAGUAACUUCGUGGGACUGAGCAACUACUAGAUUCUUGGACUUCCCAUUCACAGCUGCCUAUUGUUGGAGUAGUUGGACUGCAGACUGUAAGUCAUUACAGUAGAUUCCUUUAACAUAUAGAGGCAUUCCAUAAGUUCUGUGACUCUAGAGAACCCUGACUAAUACCGGGAUCAGAAGCCCACAGUGGCCAGCGGGGGAGUGUAAGCUUCCAGUUCAGUGAAAUGAUGGUUGUGGCUCCUUGCAGAAGCACUCCCUACAGUGGAUUCAAAACUUCUAGGCCAAGCAGAACUUUAAGGCAUGGGAAGAGAUACCAAAAUUAUUGGGUCACUAGGGGUGAUGUUGAGUGAAACCAUUCCCACUACCUUGACUACAGAAUCUGUGAAUUUUGCCCGUGGAAGAAACCAUACCAUAUCAAUAUAUGCUGAUUCAAAUCAUAUACUGCCUUCUAGAGACCCCUAUCCCAGCCCUCCAGGAUGCUCCCACCUAAUUUGCAUUGUAUCUUCAAAGGGCCAUUCUAUCUUUCUAUCAGAGAAGCUGCUUCAGUGUGAUGGAGAACAUGGUAAGAGUAGUAGAUUCUGUGGUUGUAAAGUGAAUUCCUUUGCCAGUAGCAAUACUGUGUGAAAUAUAGAUAAUGGAUUAUAUAAAGUCUACCUAUGAUAGUUUUGACUGAAACAUCAUGUGUAGAAGAGGCAAAUCUAUAGCUGUAAUAAGGAUCUAUCCAUCAUGGAUGAAGCACUGUCUUUUUCAUGGAGGAAAUGGCCCAGUGUAGUCAACCUGUCACCAAGUUGCUGGCUGAUCACCCUGGGAAAUGGUAUCAUAUCUGGGGCUCAGGGUUUGUCUCUGCUGUUGGCAGACCUAGCAGGACAUGCUUGGUGAGUCGAAGCCCAUGUUGUCGAGUCCACACAUAAUUCACAUUUCUCCCACCAUGGCCACUUUGGUCAUGGGCCCCACUGGGCAGUGACAGAGAUGGCUGGAGAGAGAGGCUGACUGUCCACAGAGUGGGCCAUCUUUCCUACUUGAUUAUUGAACUCCUCAGCUGAAAUCACCUUUUAAUGAACAUUUGUGUGAGACACACAUAUCUUCACAUCCUUUGCCCAGUUGGAGAGGUCGAUCCAUACACUUCUUCCCAGAUGUACUUCUCAUCUCUUUUUGAUCACACUUUUUCCAAGUGCCAGGCUAACCAGCCAAUCUAUUGCCUAUAGCCUAUGAAUCAGCAAAGGACUGCACUUCUGGCCAUUUCUUCUUCCAAACAAAAUAUCCGAUCACGUGUGCCCCCCAAGAUUCUUCUCACUGCCCAUUCACUCAUAUCUUUCAAGGUUGUCCCAGAAAGAGUCAACUUUUCAGAUUGCCCGCUUCCUGUUGCUACCUGUGCAAGUGCAUCAUCAAUAAACUAAGUUCUAUUCUCUCUUUCCCAACCAACUGGUCACAAGGCAUAAAACAUUAGGCUACAGGUUCAUGCUUUGGAGCAGAAGGCACUGUAGCAUUUGGGCAACUUCUUUGUGUGACUUGCUUAUGCCCUCAAGAUCAUGUGUAUAAUGCUUCAAUUUGAUAAAUACACUAUUUCUGUGCAUGCCCAACGUUAAGGUUUGGUGAAUCAGAGAACACCCAGCUCACAAUGAGUGGUUCAGAUCACAUGGUAAUUCUAUGGGCUAUCGUCAAAUUUCAGUUUCCUGUAAAACCAAGCAGCCCGAGAGCUGUUUCUCACAGAAAGAACAGUCUGUAGAUGAUAGUAGAGCCUUGCUCCAAAAUCCCAAGGAAGUUCGCUGUGAUUCACCUAUAGGGGCUGUCAAAGGCUCUAAGCAGCAUCUCUAGCUGCCAUUGACACCUCAAGUACCAUUGGGACUUCUGGAUCAUAUGGGCCAAAUGAUAGAGCAGCCUGCACGGCAGCCUGCACCUGUUGAAGAGCCGUCUCCAUUCCAGGCCCCACACAGAGCUACCAGCUUUCCAAACUACUUGGGAUUUGAUCUGGAGUAAGACACUCAAGAGGGGAAUGCUCUAUCUCCCAGAGUUCAAAGAACCACUGAGCAUUAUGUUUCCUUCUUGAUUCAGGUGCAAUAACUUAUCUUUCACGUCAGAAGGAGUAUCUGCAUGGCUGACAACAGUGGACUCCUAGAAAUUUCCCUGAGGGAGAAGGCCCUUGAAUUUUGAUUGCAUUUAUUUCCCAUCCUCUGAUGUAUUCUUUACCAACAAGUCUACAGUGUUUGUUACCUCUUGCUCACUUGGCCCAGUCAGCAAGUCAUCAAUACAAUAAACCACUGUGAUAUUUUGUGGAAGAGGCUGGUGGUUCAGAUCCCUGUGAGCUAAGUUAUGACACAGGGAUGGAGGCUGAAUAUAUCCACAGUAAAGACGAACUGCUGGCCUGGAAGAAGGUAAAUCUCCAGCUACCAUGAGGGGUGGAGGGGAAUAUCCUCAAUAUAUAAUAUAUCCAUGAAAAUUUAAAUAACUGAUCAUAAUUUUUAAAAGUGGUUGAGAUAAUAUCAAACUAUUAACAAAUUGCUCUGUAGCAAACAUCUCCUAGACUUGGUGGUUUAUAGCCUCAGUUUUUAGUGUUAAUCACACACCUGGGCUUUGUGUGGCUUUUACAGCAAGCUCUGCUGCAUGGACUUGGCUCAGCUGGCGUCACUGCAGGUCAUGGGCCUUGCUUUCAAGAUGGUUCAUUCCAGUGUUGCCAUAUUAGUAGAUAUCAGCCGGACCUCGGACUGAAGACUGUAUUCCCCUGCAGGCAGGUCACCUCAUGGCUUUGGGUCACCCUCACCUCAUGGCUUUGGAUGCCAGACCAUUGUGCUCCAGAAAAGCAGGUAGAAACAACCCUACCCACCUAUUGUGACCUCACUUUGGAAGUCCCUCUGUAACCAUGACACAUUCAGAAUCCCAGGAAGGGACCAUCAACUCAACCGCUCAAUGGAAUGACUAAGAAACCAUUUUAUUGAAACACCAUGGGCUGGGGGAGUCUUCUGAAGUAAUUUUUUCAAUACAGUCAGUCUCUCAUUCAUCCCAUGCAUCCUUCGUGAAUCUUCAGCCCAAAUAAAGCCUUUCUUCUAUAAG
This is a non-coding RNA of Rattus norvegicus (Norway rat), 3933 nucleotides long. The record is from RefSeq and is a predicted model, not a curated record. NCBI's taxonomy places the organism in Eukaryota, Metazoa, Chordata, Mammalia, Rodentia, Muridae.